AGAGUUUGAUCCUGGCUCAGAUUGAACGCUGGCGGCAGGCCUAACACAUGCAAGUCGAACGGUAACAGGAAGCAGCUUGCUGCUUUGCUGACGAGUGGCGGACGGGUGAGUAAUGUCUGGGAAACUGCCUGAUGGAGGGGGAUAACUACUGGAAACGGUAGCUAAUACCGCAUAACGUCGCAAGACCAAAGAGGGGGACCUUAGGGCCUCUUGCCAUCGGAUGUGCCCAGAUGGGAUUAGCUAGUAGGUGGGGUAACGGCUCACCUAGGCGACGAUCCCUAGCUGGUCUGAGAGGAUGACCAGCCACACUGGAACUGAGACACGGUCCAGACUCCUACGGGAGGCAGCAGUGGGGAAUAUU
RNAcentral lists this ribosomal RNA (361 nucleotides) under uncultured Escherichia sp. RNAcentral describes it as "bacterial SSU rRNA". It matches the Rfam family "Bacterial small subunit ribosomal RNA", at positions 8 to 365 of the family's 1533-position model. The record is from RNAcentral. Lineage: Bacteria; Pseudomonadati; Pseudomonadota; Gammaproteobacteria; Enterobacterales; Enterobacteriaceae.